This 65-nucleotide transfer RNA is filed under the name Caecilius quercus. RNAcentral's name for it is "tRNA-Asp". The record is from RNAcentral. Lineage: Eukaryota; Metazoa; Arthropoda; Insecta; Psocodea; Caeciliusidae.
GAAGAUUUAGUUAAAUUUGAUAACAUUAGCGUGUCACACUAAAAUUAUUUUUUGAAUAAUCUUCU